UGGAUGACUCUCGGCAACGGAUAUCUCGGCUCUCGCAUCGAUGAAGAACGUAGCGAAAUGCGAUACCUGGUGUGAAUUGCAGAAUCCCGUGAACCAUCGAGUCUUUGAACGCAAGUUGCGCCCGAGGCCAUCCGGCCAAGGGCACGCCUGCCUGGGCGUCACGC
RNAcentral lists this ribosomal RNA (164 nucleotides) under Musa ornata. RNAcentral describes it as "5.8S ribosomal RNA". It matches the Rfam family "5.8S ribosomal RNA". Rfam says of the family: 5.8S ribosomal RNA (5.8S rRNA) is a component of the large subunit of the eukaryotic ribosome. It is transcribed by RNA polymerase I as part of the 45S precursor that also contains 18S and 28S rRNA. The record is from RNAcentral. RNAcentral also lists the same sequence under 1 other name. Lineage: Eukaryota; Viridiplantae; Streptophyta; Magnoliopsida; Zingiberales; Musaceae.